CCUACGGGAGGCAGCAGUGAGGAAUAUUGGACAAUGGGCGCAAGCCUGAUCCAGCCAUGCCGCGUGCAGGAAGAAGCAUCUAUGGUGUGUAAACUGCUUUUGUACAGGAAGAAACACUCCCUCGUGAGGGAGCUUGACGGUACUGUAAGAAUAAGGACCGGCUAACUCCGUGCCAGCAGCCGCGGUAAUACGGAGGGUCCGAGCGUUAUCCGGAAUCAUUGGGUUUAAAGGGUCCGUAGGCGGUUUAAUAAGUCAGUGGUGAAAUCUGGUCGCUCAACGAUCAAACGGCCAUUGAUACUGUUAGACUUGAAUUAUAAGGAAGUAACUAGAAUAUGUAGUGUAGCGGUGAAAUGCUUAGAUAUUACAUGGAAUACCAAUUGCGAAGGCAGGUUACUACUUAUGGAUUGACGCUGAUGGACGAAAGCGUGGGGAGCGAACAGGAUUAGAUACCCUGGUAGUCCACGCCGUAAACGAUGGAUACUAGCUGUUCGGAGCAAUCUGAGUGGCUAAGCGAAAAGUGAUAAAGUAUCCCACCUGGGGAGUACGUUCGCAAGAAUGAAAACUCAAAAGGAAAUUGACGG
RNAcentral lists this ribosomal RNA (581 nucleotides) under uncultured bacterium. Its description in RNAcentral is "bacterial SSU rRNA". It matches the Rfam family "Bacterial small subunit ribosomal RNA", at positions 338 to 916 of the family's 1533-position model. The record is from RNAcentral.